AGAGUCGUAGCUCCGUGGGGAGAGCAUCGGCUUUGCACGCAGAAGGUCUCAGGUUCAGUCCCCGGCAUUUCCA
Non-coding RNA from Podarcis lilfordi (Lilford's wall lizard), 73 nucleotides. The record is from the annotation of a GenBank genome assembly. NCBI's taxonomy places the organism in Eukaryota, Metazoa, Chordata, Lepidosauria, Squamata, Lacertidae.